Molecule: ribosomal RNA, 253 nt
Filed under: uncultured bacterium
Lineage: Bacteria
Description: partial 16S ribosomal RNA
Rfam family: Bacterial small subunit ribosomal RNA
Source: RNAcentral
UACAGAGGGUGCGAGCGUUGUCCGGAAUCACUGGGCGUAAAGGGUGCGUAGGCGGGUCUUUAAGUCAGGGGUGAAAUCCUGGAGCUCAACUCCAGAACUGCCUUUGAUACUGAGAAGCUUGAGUCCGGGAGAGGUGAGUGGAACUGCGAGUGUAGAGGUGAAAUUCGUAGAUAUUCGCAAGAACACCAGUGGCGAAGGCGGCUCACUGGCCCGGUACUGACGCUGAGGUGCGAAAGCGUGGGGAGCAAACAGG